UACGUAGGGGGCAAGCGUUGUCCGGAAUUAUUGGGCGUAAAGGGCUCGUAGGCGGUUUGUCGCGUCGGGAGUGAAAUCAUCUGGCUUAACUGGGUGCUUGCUUUCGAUACGGGCAGACUAGAGGUAUGCAGGGGAGAACGGAAUUCCUGGUGUAGCGGUGAAAUGCGCAGAUAUCCGGAGGAACACCAGUGGCGAAGGCGACACGCUGGGCCAUACCUGACGCUAAAGCGCGACAGCAUGGGGAGCAAACGGG
This 253-nucleotide ribosomal RNA is filed under the name uncultured bacterium. RNAcentral's name for it is "partial 16S ribosomal RNA". It matches the Rfam family "Bacterial small subunit ribosomal RNA", at positions 524 to 776 of the family's 1533-position model. The record is from RNAcentral.